UUAUUAGUAAGCACGUGUAAUCUUUGGCAAAAGGAAACCUGAAAAUGCAUUUCCCGUGGGACCCCGCGCCCGUCGAUGCCUUUCAGCCUGCAGCUGACCUCGGGAGACCUGGAAAAGCAGGAUUCCAGGGACACAUUUACGACCGUCAUAAUUGUGAGUUAGAGAUCUCCCAGGCCAAGUGAAAUGAAAUUACGAGAAACUGAAAUCUGUUUUAAUUGGAGCAUUUAUGGAAAAAAGAAGUCAGACUGGCUGCUUUUUCCUUUAUGUGACUCUUCGGUUCAUGGCUCUACCUGCGUCCGGAAACCAGGGCUGGCGAAACUUGGGCCGUGACAGAGCAGGGAGGAAAGGAGAGAGAGGAGAAUGAGGGAGAGACAGCCCUGCCCCUCCACGGCCACCCGGCAGGCUGUGCCUACCCGGCACUUCCUCCUCUUUUCCAGGAAACACUUCUUACUUACCAUUCCCCUGCGCUCCGGCGUUGACUCUCGGAGACGCCGUGGAGAAGGCGAGCUUGACUUCUGUGCUCAGAAGAUGCUCUCUUGAGCGUCAGACAGAUGUUUGACGGCUGGCCGAGGGCGCUCACUUCUGGCUACCGGGUCCCCCCCCACCACCACACACAC
This is an RNA transcript of Lynx canadensis (Canada lynx), 617 nucleotides long. RefSeq lists it as uncharacterized. The transcript is spliced from 3 exons. Lineage: Eukaryota; Metazoa; Chordata; Mammalia; Carnivora; Felidae. The record is from RefSeq and is a predicted model, not a curated record.